Molecule: long non-coding RNA, 329 nt
Filed under: Androctonus crassicauda
Lineage: Eukaryota; Metazoa; Arthropoda; Arachnida; Scorpiones; Buthidae
Source: RNAcentral
UAACUAUUUAUACACAAAAAAGUGGAUAAAUUAUUGGAAAUGUGCUAUUUAUACUUUGAUAUCUAAUGGCAGAAGGAUAUGCUAUUGUAUGCUAUGCCACCAGAUGUCAUUUCGUGAUGUCACGUCAUUUCGUGAUGUCACUGCCAACUCAAAGUGGAACAGACUAUAGGGAAUUAAAUAAUAUGGCUUCAAGAUUAUUGCUAAUAAUAGAACAUCAUAUCAUAUUUCAUAAAAAUCUAUUAAUUAAUUCAAAAGUAUUAAUGGGGAUAUAUACUCAACUUGGUGAACUUAUAAUCAUUAGACUCCAUUCAAAAAUAAGGAAUACAGGC